GCGGGUAUCAGUUUAGUGGUAAA
This 23-nucleotide transfer RNA is filed under the name Urtica magellanica. RNAcentral describes it as "partial tRNA-Gly". The record is from RNAcentral. Lineage: Eukaryota; Viridiplantae; Streptophyta; Magnoliopsida; Rosales; Urticaceae.